CAAUAGUUGUAAUCAAUUUGGAAGAGAAUGAAGAUGUAAGCUACAAGUCUGUUCCCCCAGCCAGGGGUAAAAUGUUACCCCUUCUGUACUGUGCUGAUUUCUCUCUGUUUGAUAACUCAGCUCAAUUGGUUUAUCAGAUACCUUAUGAAUAAAAGAACUGAACCCCUUGGUAUCAACAAAACAAACUGGAAACAAUGGCAACUUCUGUUGGGACAGACUUUCCCUGGACAUUACAGAGAGCAGGAGCAGGGCAGGAAGGAGCCUCCCUAACUACGUCUUGCCCUCUGUGCAAGUGUACAAUGUUGCCAGUGAGACACCUCAUUGAAGAUGACUGUGCCAGCCUCUCCAUAAAGGUGAAACCAGUGUCACUCUCUGACUGAGACAGUGCAGAGUAAGGGGACAGCAGGCACUCGUCACCAACCUCAUCCCCCUAAGGAGAGUGAGUACAUCCUCACUACAAUAUGCUAAGCCUCUGAACUGAGUCCACUCCUGCACCUGGUUCUCACAGCUGCCAACACAAUAUGUUCAGGCUGCCACACCAGUUCAAAUUGUGCUGUGUGUGAAAUGGAUCAUACUGAAAUAACUGUAAACUCUCUGGAUACAGCUUGAUAUUCCUGGUAAGGUGGAAUGCUCUCCUUCCCUGACAUGUAUUGUUAAUCUGCCAGAAUCAAUGAUAUAGUGAAAUGCAGGAAUUAGAACCAGACUUUCUACUUUAUCCGUCUUUUUGCUGGGCUCAGCAAAGAGGGGGAGCUGUCAGGGAGUCAGUUAUGGAUCCCUUACUUUCUCUUGGGUGCUCAUUAGAGCAACCAUAGGGCUGCUCAAAGCUACAUCAGCUGGCUCUGAUCACUAUGGGAUCACUGGUCUGGCCACUCCCCAUCCGUGCCCUAUGUACCUAUGCCAGGGGGUACAGAGAAGGAAGCAUAAGAAUCAGAUCUAUUAGCUUUAUACCCACUGGGGACUCCCCAGGCCAGUGGAGCAUUCCUAAUAGGAGACUUGAAGGAGGUUUCCAAUCCCUUUGCUACACCUGAGUGACACAAAGGAAGCUGAGUGGGGCUGAGAAUCUGAUCCUCAAAAUGAAUGUCCAGCAGUAUCUGUGCAUGCUCACAACCCCUGAAAAGGCCUAAGCCUUAAAAUAAAUAAGUAAAUUAAAUAAAUAAACCUUGUGAAGUAUUUACACAUGCACAAGAAUAAUGGAAUGUCUAUGAGAAGUUGAAUCCAGCAGUAGACAACUAGCCCUCAAAGGAAUAAUGGAUGUUGAUGUUUCAAUGAAGGAAGCCAGUUCAUUACUUAUCUCAUUUCAGAUUUUAGAGCUCUAGUGAUAUUUUUUACUUUUAUCUAGCAAUCAGAUACAAAGCGAGGGGACCACAUAAGUACUUAGAUUGAUUUAUAGAAAAACAGUGCUUUCUAAUUAACAAAUUGUGUUGCAGUAUCGAGUGAUUACACAGGUAUUCUAUUAAAUGUGCACUCAUCCUCCAGAAACUCUUUCCCUAUAAAAGGCAAGUAUGCAUUUUGAUAUCAGAAUAAACCUUAAUUAAUUACUAUGUAUUUAUUUACUGCUUAAUUGUUUUUAAAUACACAUCUUUUUUUACUAUUGUUUGAUUUUAAAAAACAGAAUUCAUAAUUAUUGUUUCCACAAUAAGUCAUCCCUCUUGUCCAUAUGAAUUAUUUAGCAUUCCCACAGAAGUGACCUGAGCAACACCUCAGUCCUUGGAGGUACUUCUCCACACAGACAUUGGUCUUGAUAUUUUCACACUUCCUAUAGACACCAGAAACCAGUAGAUGUAAUAUAGAAAUGACAUGCAGAGAACGAGGAAUGCAAAUUAUUUGAAUUAUUCAAAUAUCUAAUCACUGAAAUAAAUGUAUAGAAUUACAAAGAUCAAGGCAUACAAAUGUAAAAGGUGAAUAUAUCUCUAUCUUCUGUGUUUUCAGCUCUGAACUUUGUUGGAAUUUUAAAAAGGUAAGAGAGAGCAAAAUUAUAGACAGGUCUUUGGUUUGAAUCAUUUUUGUCAGCUUGGAAGAAAUUCCUAUCUGGCUCAAUUUAAAAAAAAAACCAGAUAUAUUUCAUAGUAUUUUGUCUGGCUUCUUAGGUGUCUCUUUGAAAACAAAAAUCAUUCCAAUAGGUCAAAAGCAUUUUUAGAAGGGUCUCAAUUGAUAGCGCUAUGAAGUCUUUUAGAAAAACUUUUUUUUGAGUUACCCAACCUCCACAUUCCCUAACUAAUAGGAAAACAUUAUAUUUUUCACAUAGAGGUAUCUGAAAUCAGCCCACAUUAUUUUUGCCAGUUUCCCUUAAAAUAAAUAAAUGUUGUGCAGAGAAUUAGCAUGAAAACUUUCAGCCCAAGUUUCAGAAUGUUAUAGCUUCCCAGAAAAUAGAGAUUUAUAAUGGAAGUGGCUUGUCAACUGUAAUGAUAGUGUUGGUAUUGUGGUGUUAAAACACGGAAAGCAAAAAUUAUCACUAUUUAAUAAAGUUUUAAAUGCAUCAACUAAUGACUAAGAAUGUCACAUCGCUAAUAAAAUUCUGCAAAUGAAAA
This is a long non-coding RNA of Chelonia mydas (Green sea turtle), 2528 nucleotides long. RefSeq lists it as uncharacterized. The transcript has 2 exons. The record is from RefSeq and is a predicted model, not a curated record. Lineage: Eukaryota; Metazoa; Chordata; Testudines; Cheloniidae.